CCGUGGUGGGCGGGUGCUUCUCUAUUGGUCAGACAUGUUUGAUUGACAAGUGUCUACACCAACGACGUCUUUCUGACAAAGAAGUCUUGUUCGGCACUCCCCAGGCCAGACAGCUUUUUAACAGCAAGAGGGAACAGCGGUGAAGUUGUCGAAACCUACAAUGAACAGUAAAGCAGUUUGACUGAGGUUGGAGUGCUAGCAAUAGCUCAUUUCCAUCGAACCGAGGAUCGUCGUUUCUUCAUAAGGCGGGUUAGUUCAGGGCGGAGGGGCAGACCAUCUAUUGUUACCAGAGAGCACAUAGACGUCCUUAUGAAGCAAGGACAUACAAUCAAAAAAAAGGCAAAAAUGAUGGGAUGUUCCUCGUCGUUUUUGAACAACAAAUCAAAGCUGGUGGACCUACACAUAAGAGGAAGACUGUCUGCCUUAGAUGACAAUCAGCUGCAAGAGCGUGUGAGCACAUUGCAGGACCAGUAUCCAAACUCUGGGAAUGAGAUGAUGAGGGUGCUGCUUCGUGCUCAAGGUGUGAUUGUCACACGGGCCAGGGUACGCUAAAUGUUGGGAAGGACAAACCUGACAUCUGCUGCAAGAAGGUGGAGUCGGACUGUUGCAAGAUGGGGCUUUGUGAUACAUGGUGCCAUCGAAGGACACCCGUGUGGGAUUACCUCAGCUGCAGUACAAACAAUAGGGCAACAACAGUACUCUGUCAGUUUUUGAAAGCAACAUCUUACUAUGGACUACCAUCAAGAGUCAGAUCAGACCAUGGGGAUGAAAACAUGCUGCUUGCUUUAUGCAUGCAUCUAGUUCAAGGGCUGGAACACAGAGGCUUCAUAACAGGACAAUCAGUUCAUAAUCAGCGCAUAGAACACCUUUGGCAGGAUGUAUUUUUGCAUGUGCUGCAGCAUUUCUACCAUACAUUCUACUGUCUGGAGGACGCAGAGAAUCUUAACCCAGAUAAUGAUAUCCACAGACUUUCUUUACAUAUUGUAUAUCCACCUGAGAUUCAAAGGAGGCUGGAACAGUUCAGA
Fundulus heteroclitus (mummichog) is the source of this 1025-nucleotide long non-coding RNA. RefSeq lists it as uncharacterized. The transcript is spliced from 5 exons. NCBI's taxonomy places the organism in Eukaryota, Metazoa, Chordata, Actinopteri, Cyprinodontiformes, Fundulidae. The record is from RefSeq and is a predicted model, not a curated record.